Molecule: small RNA, 1097 nt
Filed under: Cryptococcus neoformans H99
Lineage: Eukaryota; Fungi; Basidiomycota; Tremellomycetes; Tremellales; Cryptococcaceae
Description: Cryptococcus neoformans var. grubii H99 hypothetical RNA
Source: RNAcentral
UUUGGUUGAGAACUCACCCCCUGGCUCCGAGCCAGUCUUUGUCAAAUUCAAACUUGAUCGAACCUGACUUGGGACCAGGGUCAAACCUGCUAGUCCCGAUGGGCUCCAUCGAUUGAGUGUUAGAAGUGACCUAAAGAAAGUUUUAGCAUCUGAUCACUAUUAAAGAAGCAAGUGACAAACCUGGACAGUUACCCAGCUGGCAUCUGCUUUCUUGCCUCCACCCAAGCCCACUUUCUUCCCGAUGGAGGAAAGGGGUAUCAAAAUCGCGCCCAACUUCUCGCCAUUGAUCAUCCCAGGCCAUCCCAGCUCGGCAUUGCUGUUCAAAUUGGUCGCUCCUUCAACGUUUCCUUUAACACUAGGGAGCAUCUCGCCCCUUUCUGUCUGGUCGGUCACCCGUUCACCUCCAAUGCUAGGCCCGCCGGAAGUAGUCUCCGAGGCAGAUGGAGCAGAGGGACGUUCCUUGACAGAGGAGGAAGCACGUCGGAACAUGUUCUUCAUUCGAGAAGCAAAUCCGGGUUCAUUUCCACCCUCGUUCUCAGCAAUAGCUGACUCAUUAGGGUGGGUAGAUGCCUCAUGAGUCGCGCGAGAAGGGAUAGCGGCGGAAAGGGGUGCAGGGCGGGUCGUGAGAAGCGGGUUGGGAGGCUGCGUGAGAGGGAGAAGAACUAUUACCACUUUCCUUCAACCUUAUCAUCAUCUUUCUUUCCCCCAAAACUAAGUCUACGCCCUCCACCGCCACCUCCAGUCUCUCCAAAGGAACUCUUCCUCCUUCCUCCCCCAGAGAUAACUCUGGUGAGAACAUUACCUUCAUCUUUGUCGGAUCCAAAAGAUCCGGCAGAAAGACGUCGGGAUUUAGUGUCAGAAGAAUUGAUAUCGAUUACCGCAAGGCAGGGGUACAGCUGUUUGGGUUUAUUGAUUUCUUGCGAAGAUGUGUGGAACUCCAUGUUCGAUAGGUGGCUGGGGUAAAGGCAAAAAGAAGCUGGUGAGAGGGCAGGAAUUAUCAAGGUGGCAAGGGUAUAUAAACCCCUCAUUGGACGUGGGAAAUGCGUGCUAGUGACGUUAGAGAUCCUAUCACAUAUUGACUAUCACCUGACAAUUUC